Molecule: transfer RNA, 73 nt
Filed under: Ancylostoma duodenale
Lineage: Eukaryota; Metazoa; Nematoda; Chromadorea; Rhabditida; Ancylostomatidae
Description: tRNA-Gly
Source: RNAcentral
CACAUUACUCACGGGAAACGAACCCGGGCCGCCCGCGUGGAAGGCGAGCAUUCUACCACUGAACCGCCGAUGC